This 246-nucleotide long non-coding RNA is filed under the name Homo sapiens (human). Its description in RNAcentral is "LHRI_LNC163.1". Lineage: Eukaryota; Metazoa; Chordata; Mammalia; Primates; Hominidae. The record is from RNAcentral.
GGAGUGGCGGGGGGCGGGGGGAGAGCCGAGGGGCCGGAGGGCCGGGGGCGGCUCACCCGGCGGCCCCCGGUCUGAGGAUACAGGGGCCGGCCAUCUAGCCUGGGGAGGGUCUGGACCCCCCGAGCGGGCGGCGAGGAGGUGCUUUGCCUCUGCCGGCGUUCACUGGGUCAGGGCCAGUUCAGCGCCCUGGCAGGGAAGGGGUCGCUGGGCGGGCCGGCCCCUCCUCUCGUUCUCUCCAGGGGAUGU